GUGAUUUACGUCAAAAUGCAAGUUUGAAGAAGAGCCCAUAAAGGGCUCCGGGGCUU
This 56-nucleotide transfer RNA is filed under the name Anolis fuscoauratus. Its description in RNAcentral is "partial tRNA-Cys". Lineage: Eukaryota; Metazoa; Chordata; Lepidosauria; Squamata; Anolidae. The record is from RNAcentral.